UUGACCUCAAUCAGUAGGAAUACCCGCUGAACUUAACAUAUCAAUAAGCGGAGGA
Molecule: ribosomal RNA, 55 nt
Filed under: Sarocladium strictum
Lineage: Eukaryota; Fungi; Ascomycota; Sordariomycetes; Hypocreales; Sarocladiaceae
Description: partial 28S ribosomal RNA
Source: RNAcentral